RNAcentral lists this ribosomal RNA (333 nucleotides) under uncultured bacterium. RNAcentral's name for it is "partial 16S ribosomal RNA". It matches the Rfam family "Bacterial small subunit ribosomal RNA", at positions 338 to 682 of the family's 1533-position model. The record is from RNAcentral.
CCUACGGGUGGCAGCAGUCGAGAAUCAUUCACAAUGGGGGAAACCCUGAUGGGGCGACGCCGCGUGGGGGAAUGAAGGUCUGCGGAUGGUAAACCCCUGUCAUGUGGGAGCAAAUUAAAAAGAUAGUACCACAAGAGGAAGAGACGGCUAACUCUGUGCCAGCAGCCGCGGUAAUACAGAGGUCUCAAGCGUUGUUCGGAAUCACUGGGCGUAACGUGUGCGUAGGCUUUUUCGGAAGUCGUGGGUGAAAGGCGCGGGCUCACCCCGCGGACGGCACCUGCUACUGCGAGCCUAGAGUAAUGGCGCGGGAACCGGAAUUCUCGGUGUAGCCGU